RNAcentral lists this ribosomal RNA (433 nucleotides) under uncultured bacterium. RNAcentral's name for it is "partial 16S ribosomal RNA". It matches the Rfam family "Bacterial small subunit ribosomal RNA", at positions 29 to 507 of the family's 1533-position model. The record is from RNAcentral.
AACGAACGCUGGCGGCAUGCCUAACACAUGCAAGUCGAACGAGACCUUCGGGUCUAGUGGCGCACGGGUGCGUAACGCGUGGGAACCUGCCCUUAGGUUCGGAAUAACUCCCCGAAAGGGGUGCUAAUACCGGAUAAUGUCUUCGGACCAAAGAUUUAUCGCCUUUGGAUGGGCCCGCGUUGGAUUAGCUAGUUGGUAGGGUAAAAGCCUACCAAGGCGACGAUCCAUAGCUGGUCUGAGAGGAUGAUCAGCCACACUGGGACUGAGACACGGCCCAGACUCCUACGGGAAGCAGCAGUGGGGAAUAUUGGACAAUGGGCGAAAGCCUGAUCCAGCAAUGCCGCGUGAGUGAAGAAGGCCUUAGGGUUGUAAAGCUCUUUUACCCGGGAUGAUAAUGACAGUACCGGGAGAAUAAGCUCCGGCUAACUCCGUG